GCCUCGGUGGUGCAAUGAAAGCACGCUCCUCUUGUAUGGAAAUGAAACGGGUUCAACUCCCGCGUGAGGUC
Non-coding RNA from Parelaphostrongylus tenuis, 71 nucleotides. Lineage: Eukaryota; Metazoa; Nematoda; Chromadorea; Rhabditida; Metastrongylidae. The record is from the annotation of a GenBank genome assembly.